Molecule: long non-coding RNA, 333 nt
Filed under: Citrus maxima (pomelo)
Lineage: Eukaryota; Viridiplantae; Streptophyta; Magnoliopsida; Sapindales; Rutaceae
Description: long non-coding RNA (CMAX_LNC003145)
Source: RNAcentral
CCUUACGUGUUGCUGGGAAAUACGUGAUGGUCACUUGCAGGGAGGGGGUGAGGAAGUAAUUGUGGAAUAUCCCAAUAAAGGUCUUGAUUACUUGCAUGGAAAAGUAAAUGGUUCUAAGCCUCAAAAAGUAUAUGGUUCUAAGCCUCAAAAAGUAUUUGAUUCUAAGCCUCAAAAAGUAUUUGAUUCUAAGCCUCAAAAAGUAUUUGAUUCUAAGCCUCAAAAAGGAAGCAGACGUUCUGCCUCUAUGAGAGACUUUAAGGUAGAUUCAACUCCUGAGACAGAUUCUAAGUUUGAUACAACUCCUGGGACAGACUCUAAGGUAGGGUCAAACCC